CGCACCUUGCAUCUCUUGGUAUUCCGAGAGGUACACCUGUUUGAGUGUCGUGAAUAUACCUCUAGUGACAUUGUUUUAUGUGUCUCUAGGACUUGGGAGUUCUUGUAGGCUAUAAAGUCUACUCUCCUUGAAUACAUUAGCAAAUGACGAGUUGCAAUCAAGGUUGCCUUUGUGAUAGACUAUCUCAAAGCCCUUUCAUUGCCAGUGUGUAUUGCUUCUAAAGCCAUUUAUUAUUGAACUUGACCUCAAAUCAGGUGGGAUUACCCGCUGAACUUAA
RNAcentral lists this unclassified non-coding RNA (277 nucleotides) under Scytinostroma sp. RNAcentral describes it as "partial contains 5.8S ribosomal RNA, internal transcribed spacer 2, and large subunit ribosomal RNA". The record is from RNAcentral. Lineage: Eukaryota; Fungi; Basidiomycota; Agaricomycetes; Russulales; Lachnocladiaceae.